UCGAAAAUCGGAAUAAGCUUGCUGCUUCGCUGACGAGUGGCGGACGGGUGAGUAAUGUCUGGGAAACUGCCUGAUGGAGGGGGAUAACUACUGGAAACGGUGGCUAAUACCGCAUAACGUCGCAAGACCAAAGAGGGGGACCUUCGGGCCUCUUGCCAUCAGAUGUGCCCAGAUGGGAUUAGCUUGUUGGUGAGGUAACGGCUCACCAAGGCGACGAUCCCUAGCUGGUCUGAGAGGAUGACCAGCCACACUGGAACUGAGACACGGUCCAGACUCCUACGGGAGGCAGCAGUGGGGAAUAUUGCACAAUGGGCGCAGCCUGAUGCAGCCAUGCCGCGUGUAUGAAGAAGGCCUUCGGGUUGUAAAGUACUUUCAGCGGGGAGGAAGGUGUUGUGUUAAUAACCGCAGCAUUGACUUACCCGGAAGAAGCACCGGCUAACUCCGUGCCGCAGCCGCCCAAUACGGAGGGUGCAAGCGUUAUCGAAUUACUGGGCGUAAGCCCCCGGGGGC
RNAcentral lists this ribosomal RNA (510 nucleotides) under Salmonella enterica subsp. enterica serovar Enteritidis. RNAcentral describes it as "bacterial SSU rRNA". It matches the Rfam family "Bacterial small subunit ribosomal RNA", at positions 62 to 576 of the family's 1533-position model. Lineage: Bacteria; Pseudomonadati; Pseudomonadota; Gammaproteobacteria; Enterobacterales; Enterobacteriaceae. The record is from RNAcentral.